CUCUCCCCCGCCUUGGUCUGUCCCAACGCCGGCACCGCAGAUUUAAAGGGGCCGCGCCCCGAAAAAAGGUUUGCCAGGUGGCAGCAGGAGGAGCGCAGCAUCCUGGCAGGUUGGCUACAGAGAGCGGCGGGCUGAGCCUGGUGGGAAACAACACGCAGCUGAAAGGACCUUCGCCAUAAAUCUGGAGGUCAAGGCGUGAUGAUGGGGGAAUCAAAAAGCACCACGAGCCGUUUAUGAGCACAAGAGAGGUCAAUCCAGGAGCAAAGCAUUUUGCUCGGAGCCACGGCGGAAAACAUAUUGUUGCUCUGAGAGCUCCAUCCAUGCAGGGAGGUGGAAAGUUCACUUUAAAAAUAACUGUAGCUCGGGCCCUUGAGCACUCAGGCUGCACCUGGUUAAUUCACUGUGUUUUCACACGCACGUGUAAUGAGUGUGGGUGAGCGUCUGCCUGUCUUGUUUCUACACCCUACAUCCAUUCACUGGAGAUAGGAGUACUGGAGAUACAGGGGCAGCCCGAGCAGGCACAGAGCUGCCAGUGUGCAACCGUGGUGUGCACCAUGCAGGUGUGCAUGGCAUGAGCAGUGCGUGCAUAGUGUGUGCACCGUGUGCUGGGUGUUGCACCACGUGCAGUGUGUGCAGAGCGCAUGUGUGCACUGUGUGCAACGUUGCAUGUGCCGUGGAUAGCACGUGCAGUGUGUGCAGUGUGCAUG
Molecule: long non-coding RNA, 707 nt
Filed under: Gallus gallus (chicken)
Lineage: Eukaryota; Metazoa; Chordata; Aves; Galliformes; Phasianidae
Description: long non-coding RNA NONGGAT005402
Source: RNAcentral